RNAcentral lists this ribosomal RNA (253 nucleotides) under uncultured bacterium. Its description in RNAcentral is "partial 16S ribosomal RNA". It matches the Rfam family "Bacterial small subunit ribosomal RNA", at positions 524 to 776 of the family's 1533-position model. The record is from RNAcentral.
UACGGGGGGGGCAAGCGUUGUUCGGAAUUACUGGGCGUAAAGAGCUCGUAGGUGGUUUGUCGCGUUGUUCGUGAAAUCUCACGGCUUAACUGUGAGCGUGCGGGCGAUACGGGCAGACUGGAGUACUGCAGGGGAGACUGGAAUUCCUGGUGUAGCGGUGGAAUGCGCAGAUAUCAGGAGGAACACCGGUGGCGAAGGCAGGUCUCUGGGCAGUAACUGACGCUGAGGAGCGAAAGCGUGGGGAGCGAACAGG